This 72-nucleotide transfer RNA is filed under the name Ovis aries (sheep). It matches the Rfam family "tRNA". Rfam says of the family: Transfer RNA (tRNA) molecules are approximately 80 nucleotides in length. Their secondary structure includes four short double-helical elements and three loops (D, anti-codon, and T loops). Lineage: Eukaryota; Metazoa; Chordata; Mammalia; Artiodactyla; Bovidae. The record is from Rfam by way of RNAcentral.
UCCCUUGUAGCUUAGUUGGUAAAGAAUCUGCCAGCAAUGCAGGAUACCUGGGUUCGAUUCCUGGGUUGGGAG